CCGCGGAAAUGUAACGGCUGCAAGCUGCAGUCAGUUACAUCUAGAUGGAGAGAGCUUUUUGGAUUUGAAGUAAAACAAACAGAGGUGCGACAUACAGCGGAGAACUGCAGAAGAAUUACUCCACGUGUCAAACAGAAGGGGACGAGAACACCAGACCAAUGUUUUUGCAUGCGCAUGCCAUUUGGCUUGGUAAGCUGAUCAGAGACGUCUGCUCCAAGCUGCUAAGUGUGCAGAGCUGUCUCCAGUUGUGUGGUGGUGCGUUCAUGUGCUCAGAGGUAAACCCACCUAUCUAUUGAUGAAGAACAGCUUUUUUAAGCUGCCAUUCUUAAUCUGAUUACAUUACUGUUUGUCGGCCAAAUGUCUGUAUCACAAUAGCGUUGAAUGCCCCACACGCAGACAGGAAGCAAGCGGCCCUUUCUCUCCAUCUCACACAAGGACCAACAUCGUUUAACAAAGAACUCUCAAUAUGGUGUCACCUCCAUAACCUUGGCCAGAAAAUAGUGAAUCAGGUGGAUAAAGAUUGCGUCCUCCGUGAUGUUUCUCCCAGAGUGCCGUGCACACACAGCAUUUCUAAAUUGGCAAGAGUAAAUGUUGAGGCCUGGAUGAUUUGUACAGGCCUGGGAAAAACAUCCUCCCAGCCAGCCAUGUCAAACAAGAGGAACGUACGUCUGACUUGAUCCCAGUAUGACUAAUUGGUAGAUAUUGUUGGUGCUCAGUCUGCUUAAUGGGGGAAGUGUCACUAUCUGGAUGUGCAGCACCCAUUGACUUAUUCCAAAUGAUACAGACGUCGGGAUCACAAUCAGUGAGUUUCAAAAUAGGGAUUAAGGAUUUUUUUUUCAGCUUUCAAUGUCAAAGGCCUUUGACUCCCAGGGCUGCGAUCAGAUGCAAAUAGGCAUGUUCGCAGGUAUUUCUCAUGUCAAACACUCUCUCACUGAUAUGAGUGUUUGAGAUGAAGGAUACAGGAGCUGUGCUUUCGUGCACCUUCAUUGAUUGUAGGCCUACAUUGAUUUGACUUCAAAUCAAAGACGUUAUUUCACAAAUUCAGAGCGUAAGUAUUUUUUAUUUAGAAGUUCAUUUAACAUGCCACAGUCCUGUUAGCAUGUAGACCAACAUGCUUCAGUUAAAUAUAAUGUUCAAUCAUCAAGGAUCAUUCUAAAAAUAAGAAUAGUCUCAUACUGUGAAACCUUGAUAACCCUUGGUACAGUUGUAGAAAGGACUGUGCUUUACAGCUGGAGGUCAGCCCAGUUAUACCGAUGCAUGCUGAUCCAUGGCAUGAAUGCAAGUCUGAAGGUUAAUUGCUACCAGAUGUUCAUCCCCACUAGUUUGUUAAUAAGAGUAAAAUCACUAGUCUCCUGCAGCGUGCCUAAGGCUGGCGCAUGCUUCUGCGUCUUUGCGCGCAGUCCUGUCGAUGCGCUCGAUUAAUUUCAUGGUUCAAAAGGGCUUGCGUGUGUUGCAGAGCAAUUCCCCGCCAGAACACCAGGUGGAGUAACGUUUUUUCUCAAAGACGACCUAGAGAGUGACGUCUUUGUGUGUGGAAGUCGUUGGUUUGUUUAUUUAUUUAUCGUAGGCCUUAUUGCCCCGUGCAUCGCCACUGCUGCUUUUUAGCGCCUUUAUCGAGACAUUUGUCCCGUGUUUUCCUCCACAACUUUGUGUUCCCCUCGACCGGCAAACUGACGUUUGCAGAGAUCUCCCUCCAUGAAUCGGAGGCCAUUCGCGCCUCCUUAUAGUCCGCCAAUGACGGGUUGUAAAAGUGCUCAUAUUUACUGAUUUUUUCUGACAAAAGCUCUUCAAUCUGAUCUCUCGUAAGUUCUCUCGUGAAAAAUCUUCGUAUUAAUAAUGGCGGUAUUGUGCUAUUAAACCGGAAGAGUGAGACUCCGUAAAGGAUGUAGUUAGCAGACCAAUCGCAGCCUUGCGGGCUGCAGGAGGCUUGCGUAGCUUUUGACGCUAGUCUAGAAAAAUGGGUUGACGCACGCAAGCACGCAAGGAGGUGUGAAAAGGCACGCAAGGAACACGCAAGGGGGUCUUGCGUCUGUGUGUCCUUGCAUCUUUCUGAAAACGCAGAAGCAUAAACUACGCUUUAAGCUUUAGUAAGCUCUCGUUUAUAGAGCCUGAAAGUUAGUACAUUGCUCUCUGGUGAUACAUAUUCUAUGGUUAAUCUUUGGUUGGAGACUGAUCCACUCAUCAGCUUAGAUUCAUUGUGAUUCUAGAUAAUAAUGUAAUGUAUUCCAUCAGACUACAGUACAUCCAAAUGAGGACCUCAGUGUUCUGAAGAUGGAAAUUCGACUCAUCUUGUUGUAAUUCUAAUACCGCUUUGAACCAGAGGCCUCCAUCAUAACAUGAUCUGAAAAUGGAAGGGUGUUAUAAAGGACCCUGGGCAGUCAAUGUGGUUUGCACCAGCCAACCUAUUAGCUCUAUCUUUGGCGAGUGUGCCACCACUGGCGUAAGUCCCGAUAGCAGUGAUUGAUGAUGCUCUAAGUUCAUUCUGAUUUUGGCUUACAAAAAUAGCUGAGCAGUGUAGCUUCAACCAUUUGAAACAGGGAAACAUACUGCAUAUGGAAGUUUAGCACAGUUUGAAAAUCAGAUCAGUUCUGUCAACAGAUUCUAUAUCCAGUUGUGCAUGAAAGAACAGGAAAAACAGCCAAAUACUUUGCUACGGUAUCCUGAACAUGAAGUGUAUCUUGUAUGCUUUAUAUAUUCUUAGUUUAAUCCAACACUGCAUUUUCAGAUGUCCUAUUAAAUGUCAGCUGUCACUUAAUGUUGCAUUUCCAAAACGACAGAAUUGUGUGUGCAAGGUUGUGUUAUCUGUGUUGCUCUGCUGGAAACUCUCACAGCUCUGCAGCACCACUAAAUCUUUGAUUGGACACUCUUUCCGGUUAAAAACAGUGAUAAACUGCUUCUGGGAUUCCUAAAGUGGGGGAAAAGUUCACCACCAGAGUUUUAGGCCAAUAUGGUAUACUUUUCUAGAUUUGGAUACACAGCUAGAGCUCACAUUACUCUGCAUGAUAGAGGGGAGUUGAGGAGCUGCAUCAUUAUCCCCAAAACCGACAGGCCCACCUGUACGUACGGGAUUAACUAGACACCCAUGAAGCACAAUGAGUUCGGGGCAUUCAGAAUAAGUGGCUUUAUUGACAAAAGUAUUUUAUCCAAGGACAUUUAACAAAUUUACAUUCAAAUAAAACUGAUACCUUUUAAGUUGAUGACCCUGCUGCCUUUGUAUUAGUCACCUGACAAAACUAACCUCUAGCACUUCAUUGAGUGAGCAGGGAAAACGACAUGCUGUAAACAGGGUUUGGGGAAUUAACUCUCCUUUAUGUGGGAAGGUAAAAGACAGGAUGGACAAGAGAACCAAUUACUUAUGAGUUGUGCAUGAACAAAGGCAGAUAAAUAUUCAGUUAUAAUCCACCAGUCUAUAAUCAAGAUGACAAAAACACAAUUUGAAGUAGGAGGUGGAGGUUGAAGGGAAGAGAAAACAUACAUAUAAAUCAAGACAUGUGAAUCCUAGGACAUCAGCGGCUUUGCGUGUGUUUGUUAAUACUUGAUUUGUAAUAUUGUCCUGGGAUUUCAUUGGAUUCUUCGGCCUUAAGUCAAGAUAUCAUUUUAAGAGAUAAGACGUGCUUCCAGUCUUUGGUGAUAACGAAUGCAUUCCGUAAAAGGAAUGUUUGUUUAGAGUUGUUUUUUCCUGUCUUGUCAAGAGUUAAAUGGAAAGAUUACUCCCACUAUAGCCCCACUAGCUACUAUAGGCUGCAUAUAAAGCCAGUCUUUUGGUUAGCUUACAUGAGCAGCUCACUUAAAGCCUAACCUUCCUUCUUUUUGGGGAAAAAUGCGAGGAAAGAUUUGCUCUUUUCUGCCCGCUGUGAGUCACUCAGCAAUGACAGCCAGACUCCCAACCCACAUAAACAAAUCGUUUUACAUACCUGCAUUUACUUUGACAAUCAUGUACUUUAACACAUUAUGUUUUCCUUUUGUAGAUCUUCACAGGGCUAUGCUUCACAUUAUAUGGGGCUAGAUAUUGAAAACAUUUGGGGGUUAAGCCAAGCAAUAUGAACCGAAGACGCCGCUGUUGGUGGAAAAGGAACCUCUACUGAAAAUUAGCAUAUUCAACCGCAGAGGGCCAAGUUGGGGCCAAAAAAAAUUGUAUAAUUCUGGAGGUAAUCCAUCCAGUCCUCAAGUUCUGUCUUUGUUCAUUGAUUUAAUGGGUUUUCUUAGCUCUUUUUAGAGUGAUGGCCGCCUCUAGAGAACAGAGGGCCUCUGGAGGGUGCUUAGGUAAGUGUAAUGGAUUCUAAAAAUUCACUACAGUCUCAUUAUGAACAACUUCCAACUUUGGAUAGUUGAAAAGUGAUAUUAAUCAGAUCUUUAUCAGAUCAGAAGUUAAGUUACUUCUUUUGUCCUAAUUGCUGAGAUGUUCACAAAACGAUCAUUCAUUCUCAAUUCAAGAGCAAGCAGGCAGCUGGUCUAGAAGUGAUUCAUAUAAUGGUUCUGCUGUAGUGCAAUUAAUAAUGAAUGCUGCUAGCUGUCCCGACAGACUUUCAACUCGAUAUAUAGCUAAUUUGCUUGUGAAUGUGUUCAGAUGAAAUGUUUUUAAGUAUGCUUUGUUCUGCCUGUCAGUUCUUAGCUACUAACAACAACAACACCAUUUCUUAACUUUAUCACAAUUUAUGCAAGUGAUAUGUAUCAUUACAAAUCAUUACAGACUCAACUGUCGUCAAAUAGCGCACUAUGCAGAUUCUGCAUCAUAUUUAGCCUUAAGGUCAUGCCUGUAAAGGUCAUUCUGAAGUUAGGAGAUGCUAAAACUCACAGCCCUUGAGGAGGUACAUAAGACAGCCCAAUAAUCAUUCAGUAUCAAUGCAACGGAUUUCACUUCAUGUUUUGCAGACAAAAAUCAGUAAAAAAAGUAUUUCAUCGGAAAAAAAGAUCAUUCCCUUGUAGAAAGAUUCAUCAUAAAUCUUUAUGGAAUCAGAUCUCAAGCUUAUUUCUGUAAUGCAUAAGAAGCCACUGGUUGAUCUCUGCUCCCUGUUGCCCCUGUGGGAUCGAUAUCAUGGAGCCUUGCAGCAUUGAAAUCCCCUCCAAUCAAAAGUUGAUCAUCUGGAAGAUUGUGGAAGCCAGUGAAUCUCACUUGCUGAAAGAAUUUGGAGCAUCGGCACAAUUAUAAGCAUUUUCAAUGUCAUUGUAAGCUAAUUUAUAAAAUAUUUACCUAUCACCUCCACCCAAACAAGUUUUGUGUCCAUGAAAUUUCUUCUUUAAGUACACUUCGGAGUGGCCUAUACAUUCCUGAGAGGAGUGUAUAGGCCAGGAGGAGUUCUAUGAUAAAACAUUAUUCAUAACAGGUAUGACAUAGUAUGCAGUAUGACCAACUUAUCAUGAUUUUAUCCAACUCGUGCAGUGUAGUUAUUACAAGGUAAAUCAUUCACAUGUGGUCUAACUAAUGACAGCACAGUUCAGAGGAAUCUUCAGCAAACCAGCCGAGCUCAGCUGGUAUAUUGCUAAAUAUAUCAGUAAAUUCCUGUGAUUUAGUCACUACAAGGAAAUUGGUAACAUUGUGCGAGCAAGCAAAUUGAAACAAAUGAAACUGCUUUAAUGAGUAAAGGGCCUGUUCUGUUUAUAAAUGGUAGCGAGGGUGAUGCAAGAAGUUAAUAAGAAAGGCUCAAGGAUAAAACCAGGAUAUUAAUUCAUCUUUAAAUAUUGCCCCACUUCUUCCAGGGGUGAAGAACUGUACAUUGAUGAAGAGGUAUUUUCUUAUUAUUGUCCGAGAUUUAUCCUGAGCUAUUUGGCCGAGGCAAAGCAAGAGGAGCUCAUCCUCUGAAUGCCAAACAAAAGGUUAAAAUGAGGAUAGAUAACCAAUUAAGGAGAUAGAGAGAGAGAGUGAAAGUCUCUAAAGAGGGUUUAGUGGGGCACCCAGGGUUCCUUCUCCGAACUGCAAGUAAUGUGGUGGAUAUGGUCCAAGACAUGCUCAUAGAUGUUUCUUUGGACCCCUGGUGGCACAAGCAAUCCCUUGAUAAGGGAGAUUAGGUUUCUUUGGAGAAUUGAAUAUCAGACUCGCUUCUUGUUUGCUUUUGUGUUUAUCCUCCUCCUUUUCUCCCUCCUUCUUUCCUUUUAUAUCUUUCUGAUUCACGAGUUGACUCCUACGAAAAAACUGAGUCUGGGGGGGAAACAGAGCUUCUUUCGGUCGGCCCCAAAUUAGAUGUGCAUGAAGCUGUUUUAAUGGGGUUGAAUCAUACUGCAAUAUAGAUCUUCAUCCUCUAUUGUCUGUUUCUGUGCAACAGAGGCAAUAUACAAGAGAUACUACAUGGGCAUGCAUAUUUUUUCUUUUUCAAAAUGUUUUUAUGUCUACUGUGAAACUGACAGCUGUGGAAUGAUCAUUCAGUCCUAAGAGACCGAAUGAAAAAAGGAGACUUCAUUUGUGGUUAGACUUUACCUUCUCAAGCUUGUGACCCCAAUCUUAAUCACCAGAAUAUGGAAAAUACAUCAGUGGUACCGGUGGUCAGGUGUGAGUCCUCAUUAUCUCAUUACAUUUUUACUCACCUUAGACGGCAUCACCGGUUCCAUUUCUUGCUGUAUUGAUAAUGACAGUAUCCAGGUAGGGAUGUGAAUCUUGAUUUCUCUCCCAAUUUGAUCGCGUUUCACCGAUUGUAUGUUGUUUUUAGUAUCAAUCACUGUACAUACACAAAAACAACUUACCUAAUCCUGGUUGUACCAGGAGUAGGUACAACAAUAUUGACCUAAACUAUUUUUAGAAUAUUAACCAAUUGCUGGAGUUUCAAAUAGUUUCAAGGCAUUAUUGAAUUUUAGCUUAAAAUGCCAAAAUAUUCAAUAUCAUGUGAUGAAAAAGGGCAUUUUACACAGGACUAAGACAAAAUGAAAAAACAGCUGACUAAAUUAAGAAAGAAAAGCUGAAAUGUUUGGUGUUGUUGAGUAAAACAUCACUCACUUUGAUCCUUUUUAUAUUUUAUAGCAGAGAAUGUAAAAAGUGACGAACAUUUAUUUUUAUGCUGCAAUUUGGCCAAGGCACAUCAUUUAUUUUCUCUUAAAAUGCAUAUACCUUUUAUGUUGUCAGAUAAAUUUACAUUUUGUUGCAGUGAACAGGGAAUGGCAGUCCAAUUCCGGCAUUGACACGGCGAAUGCAAAUUACACAUGACGACAAUGAUGUACCGUAGGUGACAUGUACAGAUAUUAUCUCCCUUCUGUAAAGGACAAAAAUUGCCUGAAGGGAGCACAUGUGAAAAAAAAAUUAGUUGGAUGCAGAAAAUGGAGAGAAAUCAUAGCCGUCUUUGAUAUUGAAGCACUGGGCGUGAAAGUGACGGUAUUUGAGAAUUGCUCAGGCGUCAGGCCGUUCACCUCUAAUGUCAGAGAUGAUUACACACUAAAUGUAGUUAUCUAGUGCCGCUGCUAAUCAUUGUUAAAGAAUCUGCCCAAUUUUUCACCUUGAACUGGUUGUCAUGCGGUCGAUGACCCUCUUACCUUUAAAUCAAGCUGAAAAAAAAUGGUGAUGGCAUGAUACCAUCGGGCAAUCUACUGCGCUCAAGGGCAUUUGGCUUCCAGUCAAGUUUAGUCUUUCACAAAUGAUGUGAGAGUAGCGAACCUCAGGAUAUAAGCAGAAUUAUUGACAGAGAAACUUGAGUAAUUGAGAAUGAGAUCACCGGAAACAUUAGAACGAUCAGAGGGAUGCUGGUCAUUUUCCUGAUUAACGGUAAUUGUUGUAUGUAGUGAAUAUGAAACCUGAGAAAAAAAUCAUUGAAAUUGUCAUUUACAAUAACAGCCUAAAGCCCAAUAAUCUUGGACGACCAGAUCGGACAAAGCAAAGCAGCAAAUCCACCCAAUUGAGCCGCUGGAACCAUCAUGUUUCGUCAUUAUGAUUCAAAACCAAUCAGGGCUGCAAGUAAUGUUUUUCUUUCAUCAUCGAUGAUUCAUUUCUUUCAGUAAAGUGUUCUUCACGAUUUCUAAGAACCCAAAUAUUGCAUCUUUUGUGAAUUUUGCAUGACAGAAAACAAAAAAUGUUUUUCCAAAUAGUUAACACUAAUACAUUUAUUGACCAACUGUUGCAACUUCAUGAACUAUUAAGGCAAUUGAAUUAUCAUAUAUAUUAUAAUGUUUUCCAAUCUAAGUACACUUUUAACAAGGAGUUCUACUAAACCUGUACUAACGUGCACAAUGUUCUCUGUGGCUCUGUAGAAAGUUUGACGACAUUACCUGAUGUCAUCAGUCACAACAACGACGGAUUCCGAGUGUUUUUAGCUGAGCUACAACAGACUUCAGAUUUCCUGGAUGUGAUGUCAUGUAGGCUGGUUGUGUUUUAUGUGCAAUGCAAUGCUUAGUCACUGGAUGACCCCUUUUUUUGUUGAGUAACUAAUUAUAUGGGCUCUGAAGGAUCCGUCUUCGCUGGCUAUGCAAAGAUCAGAAGAAUUAACUUAUUGCGUUCUUCUUUAAAUUUGGUCAGUUGUCCCAUAAAUACUCUUUGUGCUGUCCACGUUUGUAUGUAGAUGAACAUCUGUGGCACACUUGCUUGGGAUCAAACAGUCUGUUGUUGUAUAUUAUGGAUGUGGUUGAAUUGUAACUUACAUUUUGGAAUAGCUUUGUCCCUGAAUGGACGUGGACAUUGUUGAGCAUAUAUGAUAUGAGUCCAAAGCCAUGUCAAAUAGCUAAUGUAAUGACGCCACAUGUAACACGUGUGCCUGCGUGCACCUGGAUGCUGAUGUAAAUAUGCGCAAAAUAAAACCAGUCAGUGCAAGUUCUCAAACCAAGGAGAUGAUGGCGGUCUGUCCUUUUUCUCCCGUGAAUAAUGAUACCUGGACGUAUUAACUGACCACGUUGGCGACUGUACUAACGGUAGACUGCUGCAGGAAUGUCUAACGCUACAGGUUAUGGGCCCAGUCAUGCAGGCCAAAGGUGGUUCAGACUUUUAUUCGACGGUGAUGAGAAAAGUUACGAACUCUGGGAAACAAGGUUCCUCGCGCACAUGGAGUUACGCAGCCUCAGAGAAGCUAUCCUGGAAGACCCACAGAUAGAUGAGGAGGACGAAGGAGCUCUCGUGGAAGAUGAGGCAAAGAAUGGUGAGGCGUAUGCAAAACUAGUGCAAUGUCUAGACAACAAGAGCUUGUCAUUGGUAAUGAGGGACGCGCAACGUGACGGAAAAAAAGCGCUAAAUAUUCCCCGCGAGCACUAUGCGGGAAAGAACAAACCCCGCGUUGUGAGUUUGUAUUGUGAACUUUCCUCGCUCUACAAGGCUAGCAAUGAAACUGUCACUGAAUAUGUUUUUAGAGCCGAGACCAUAUUCACGUCAUUGAGAAGAGCAGACGAGGAUAUUAGUGAUGCACUUCAAAUA
Long non-coding RNA from Gasterosteus aculeatus aculeatus (three-spined stickleback), 9316 nucleotides. Lineage: Eukaryota; Metazoa; Chordata; Actinopteri; Perciformes; Gasterosteidae. The record is from Ensembl.